This 651-nucleotide ribosomal RNA is filed under the name uncultured Candidatus Poseidoniales archaeon. RNAcentral's name for it is "bacterial SSU rRNA". It matches the Rfam family "Archaeal small subunit ribosomal RNA", at positions 1 to 658 of the family's 1478-position model. The record is from RNAcentral. Lineage: Archaea; Methanobacteriati; Thermoplasmatota; Candidatus Poseidoniia; Candidatus Poseidoniales.
UUCUGGUUGAUCCUGCCGGAGGCUACCGCUAUUGGAGUUCGAUUAAGCCAUGCGAGUCGAGAGUCUUAGGGACUCGGCGUACCGCUCAGUAACACGUGGGUAACCUGCCCUAUGCUGGGGAAUAACCUCGGGAAACUGAGAAUAAUACCCCAUAGUUCACCACGCCUGGAACGGUGGGUGGAUGAAAGCUCCGGCGGCAUAGGAUGGGCCUGCGACGUAUCAGGUUGUAGGGGGUGUAACGUACCCUCUAGCCAUCAACGCGUACGGGUGUUGGGAGACAUAGCCCGGAGAUGGAUUCUGAGACACGAAUCCAGACCCUACGGGGUGCAGCAGGCGCGAAAACUUGGCAAUGCGAGCAAUCGUGACCAGGGAACUCCAAGUGGCUGGGGUAAUACCCAGUUUUUUCUUGACUCUUCAAAGGUCUUGGAAUAAGGGGUGGGUAAGGACGGUGCCAGCCGCCGCGGUAAUACCGGCGCCUCAAGUGGUAGUCGCUUUUAUUGGGCCUAAAACGUCCGUAGCCGGUCUGGUGCAUUCGUGGGUAAAUCAACCCGCUCAACGGGUUGAAUUCUGCCAGCACGGCCAGACUUGGGACCGGGAGAGGUGUGGGGUACUCUCACGGUAGGGGUAAAAUCCUGUCAUCCUGAGAGGACC